Neopsephotus bourkii (Bourke's parrot) is the source of this 551-nucleotide long non-coding RNA. RefSeq lists it as uncharacterized. The record is from RefSeq and is a predicted model, not a curated record. NCBI's taxonomy places the organism in Eukaryota, Metazoa, Chordata, Aves, Psittaciformes, Psittacidae. The transcript is spliced from 2 exons.
CCUUCCUCUUUCUUUUCCUCUUGGGUUUUUUUCUCUCCCUCCGAGGUAACAAUACCUCCUUUCAGGCACUGCCAAAGCCCUACUCAAGCCCACUCAGAUAAGAGCUGGCAGGAAAGGUAACUGCCAUCAAUAUUUGGGUGAAUGUUAACUACCUGAGGACAGACUGGGUGGGGGAUCACAACAGGCGGUUGCGAGCACCUGGGCUAUGUUCAAAAACACCACAUUUAAAGUCAUCUCCCUCCCCGGAUCCCCCUGAAUCCCCAAGUCAAGUCUCUCCAGCGUUAGUGGCUGUGUAAGACAGUGCUUAACCAAGUCGGGACUAAGCCAAGAGUCGUGCUCCAUGUGAAGGAGGGGUGGGCGCUGCCGCGGUCGCUGGCCCAUAGGAAACCGGUGACCCAGGGACAUCUGCAAGCCAUUAGGACACAGACUUCAGGUAGCUCCCAGAAACACGUGCUGUCCACAUUACACCCUCCAAGGAUAUUUCCACAACUUUACUUCUCCAAAUAAACAGUCGGGCUCUCCCUGCAUUAGCAAGGAGCUGCACAAACAGG